This is a long non-coding RNA of Thalassophryne amazonica, 191 nucleotides long. RefSeq lists it as uncharacterized. The transcript has 2 exons. The record is from RefSeq and is a predicted model, not a curated record. NCBI's taxonomy places the organism in Eukaryota, Metazoa, Chordata, Actinopteri, Batrachoidiformes, Batrachoididae.
ACAAAAAAUAUUAAUUCAUUAAUUAUUAUACAGUAAACAAAUUCACACAAACUUGCUGAGACGCGAACAGCUUAACGCUAACUUUAACAUUGAAAACACCAUAGAUAUACACAUUAGCAUCUGUCCCAUUUUUAAGUUAUAAAACACAUUUAUCAACUGUUUCAGAAGACCAUAACAGGUUGGUUUAACAU